GAGGGUGUAGGUCAGUUGUAGAGCGUGUGCUUAGUAUGCGCGAGGUUCUGGGUUCAAUCCCCAGUACCUCCA
Molecule: transfer RNA, 72 nt
Filed under: Camelus bactrianus (Bactrian camel)
Lineage: Eukaryota; Metazoa; Chordata; Mammalia; Artiodactyla; Camelidae
Also listed under: 2 other names
Rfam family: tRNA
About the family: Transfer RNA (tRNA) molecules are approximately 80 nucleotides in length. Their secondary structure includes four short double-helical elements and three loops (D, anti-codon, and T loops).
Source: Rfam by way of RNAcentral